GUACAUACAUGGUAGAGGGGAUACUACGACCAUAAAGCUUGUCUUCCCACUCUGAGGCUCACCCCACUGUACUCUCGACCUGCUACCUCCGUAAUUUCCCCAAACUCAGGCGUUGUAACUACAUAACUGGCGGAGGCAGGGACUGUGUUCACACCUUCCCUU
This is a small nuclear RNA of Arvicola amphibius (Eurasian water vole), 162 nucleotides long. RefSeq annotates it as U1 spliceosomal RNA. Lineage: Eukaryota; Metazoa; Chordata; Mammalia; Rodentia; Cricetidae. The transcript has a single exon. The record is from RefSeq and is a predicted model, not a curated record.